CCCUUAGAUGUUCUGGGCUGCACGCGCGCUACACUGAUACUUUCAGCGAGUCCACCACCUUGCCUGGGAGGGUGGGGUAACCUCUGGAAAGUGCAUCGUGAUGGGGAUCGAUUAUUGUAAUUAUUAAUCUUCAACGAGGAAUUCCUAGUAAGCAUGUGUCAUCAGCCCGUGCUGAUUACGUCCCUGCCCUUUGUACACACCGCCCGUCGCUACUACCGAUUGAAUGGCUUAGUGAGCUUUCUGGACUGUUGCUUUUCGUUGGAAACUUCGUUAAGCAUACGGGAAGGAAAUCAAACUUGAUCAUUUAGAGGAAGUAAAAGUCGUAACA
This 328-nucleotide ribosomal RNA is filed under the name uncultured eukaryote. RNAcentral describes it as "partial 18S ribosomal RNA". It matches the Rfam family "Eukaryotic small subunit ribosomal RNA", at positions 1470 to 1796 of the family's 1831-position model. The record is from RNAcentral.